This 1540-nucleotide ribosomal RNA is filed under the name Staphylococcus aureus H40569. RNAcentral describes it as "16S ribosomal RNA". It matches the Rfam family "Bacterial small subunit ribosomal RNA". The record is from RNAcentral. RNAcentral also lists the same sequence under 1 other name. Lineage: Bacteria; Bacillati; Bacillota; Bacilli; Caryophanales; Staphylococcaceae.
AGAGUUUGAUCCUGACUCAGGAUGAACGCUGGCGGCGUGCCUAAUACAUGCAAGUCGAGCGAACGGACGAGAAGCUUGCUUCUCUGAUGUUAGCGGCGGACGGGUGAGUAACACGUGGAUAACCUACCUAUAAGACUGGGAUAACUUCGGGAAACCGGAGCUAAUACCGGAUAAUAUUUUGAACCGCAUGGUUCAAAAGUGAAAGACGGUCUUGCUGUCACUUAUAGAUGGAUCCGCGCUGCAUUAGCUAGUUGGUAAGGUAACGGCUUACCAAGGCAACGAUGCAUAGCCGACCUGAGAGGGUGAUCGGCCACACUGGAACUGAGACACGGUCCAGACUCCUACGGGAGGCAGCAGUAGGGAAUCUUCCGCAAUGGGCGAAAGCCUGACGGAGCAACGCCGCGUGAGUGAUGAAGGUCUUCGGAUCGUAAAACUCUGUUAUUAGGGAAGAACAUAUGUGUAAGUAACUGUGCACAUCUUGACGGUACCUAAUCAGAAAGCCACGGCUAACUACGUGCCAGCAGCCGCGGUAAUACGUAGGUGGCAAGCGUUAUCCGGAAUUAUUGGGCGUAAAGCGCGCGUAGGCGGUUUUUUAAGUCUGAUGUGAAAGCCCACGGCUCAACCGUGGAGGGUCAUUGGAAACUGGAAAACUUGAGUGCAGAAGAGGAAAGUGGAAUUCCAUGUGUAGCGGUGAAAUGCGCAGAGAUAUGGAGGAACACCAGUGGCGAAGGCGACUUUCUGGUCUGUAACUGACGCUGAUGUGCGAAAGCGUGGGGAUCAAACAGGAUUAGAUACCCUGGUAGUCCACGCCGUAAACGAUGAGUGCUAAGUGUUAGGGGGUUUCCGCCCCUUAGUGCUGCAGCUAACGCAUUAAGCACUCCGCCUGGGGAGUACGACCGCAAGGUUGAAACUCAAAGGAAUUGACGGGGACCCGCACAAGCGGUGGAGCAUGUGGUUUAAUUCGAAGCAACGCGAAGAACCUUACCAAAUCUUGACAUCCUUUGACAACUCUAGAGAUAGAGCCUUCCCCUUCGGGGGACAAAGUGACAGGUGGUGCAUGGUUGUCGUCAGCUCGUGUCGUGAGAUGUUGGGUUAAGUCCCGCAACGAGCGCAACCCUUAAGCUUAGUUGCCAUCAUUAAGUUGGGCACUCUAAGUUGACUGCCGGUGACAAACCGGAGGAAGGUGGGGAUGACGUCAAAUCAUCAUGCCCCUUAUGAUUUGGGCUACACACGUGCUACAAUGGACAAUACAAAGGGCAGCGAAACCGCGAGGUCAAGCAAAUCCCAUAAAGUUGUUCUCAGUUCGGAUUGUAGUCUGCAACUCGACUACAUGAAGCUGGAAUCGCUAGUAAUCGUAGAUCAGCAUGCUACGGUGAAUACGUUCCCGGGUCUUGUACACACCGCCCGUCACACCACGAGAGUUUGUAACACCCGAAGCCGGUGGAGUAACCUUUUAGGAGCUAGCCGUCGAAGGUGGGACAAAUGAUUGGGGUGAAGUCGUAACAAGGUAGCCGUAUCGGAAGGUGCGGCUGGAUCACCU